ACAGAAAAUGGCUAGUUAAAAACUUGUCAAGGCCAGUUGCAGGCAUGAUACCAGCAGUCUGGGAGGUAGAGACAAGAGGACACAUCUCUGCUGCUCCCUUCUUUCCCCAUGGUUAUGCGCCAACUUUGGUUUCACCAGGCCUACAGUGCUUCCCAGGUUUGGAGUGUGGGGAAGGAGAAGAUUUAAUGGAAGCAGCUUAAGGGAAAUGCUCAAACUAAACUGAUACUUUCUUCAUGAUCUAGCAUUGAAACUUUCUGGACUUGACAGAUAUUUAAAAUUAACUCUUUUUCUCAUUAACAUUUUCAUGGGUUCUUCCAAGAUCCACAUUACCCAACCUGUGGGUUCCCAUGACAAGGAUUAAGGCAUCUCUG
Molecule: long non-coding RNA, 371 nt
Filed under: Homo sapiens (human)
Lineage: Eukaryota; Metazoa; Chordata; Mammalia; Primates; Hominidae
Description: non-protein coding lnc-SEC24D-1:6
Source: RNAcentral